GGUUAUGGCUCAGUGGUAGAGCACUUGCCUAGCAUGUGUGAAGCACUGGGUUCGAUUCUCAGCACCA
Molecule: transfer RNA, 67 nt
Filed under: Marmota monax (woodchuck)
Lineage: Eukaryota; Metazoa; Chordata; Mammalia; Rodentia; Sciuridae
Description: tRNA.Ala
Source: RNAcentral